RNAcentral lists this ribosomal RNA (392 nucleotides) under uncultured Arthrobacter sp. Its description in RNAcentral is "bacterial SSU rRNA". It matches the Rfam family "Bacterial small subunit ribosomal RNA", at positions 64 to 456 of the family's 1533-position model. Lineage: Bacteria; Bacillati; Actinomycetota; Actinomycetes; Micrococcales; Micrococcaceae. The record is from RNAcentral.
AAACGAAUGAUCCGGUGCUUGCACCGGUGAUUAGUGGCGAACGGGAGAAAAACACGUGAGUAACCUGCCCUUGACUCUGGGAUAAGCUUGUGAAACUGGGUCUAAUACCGGAUAUGACCUUCCAUCGCAUGGUGGUUGGUGGAAAGCUUUUGUGGUUUUGGAUGGACUCGGGGCCUAUCACCUUGUUGGUGAGGUAAUGGCUUACCAAGGCGACGACGGGUAGCCGACCUGAUAGGGUGACCGGCCACACUGGGACUGAGACUCGGCCCCGACUCCUACUGGAGGCGGAGGUGGGGAAUAUUGCUCUUGGGCGAAAGCCUGAUGCUGACACGCCGCUUGAGGGAUGACGGACUUCGGGUUGUAAACCUCUUUCGCAGGGACAAAGCGAAAGU